RNAcentral lists this ribosomal RNA (493 nucleotides) under uncultured bacterium. RNAcentral describes it as "partial 16S ribosomal RNA". It matches the Rfam family "Bacterial small subunit ribosomal RNA", at positions 30 to 507 of the family's 1533-position model. The record is from RNAcentral.
AUUGAACGCUGGCGGCAUGCUUUACACAUGCAAGUCGAACGGCAGCGAGGAGAAGCUUGCUUCUCUGUCGGCGAGUGGCGAACGGGUGAGUAUAGCAUCGGAACGUGCCAAGUAGUGGGGGAUAACCAAACGAAAGUUUGGCUAAUACCGCGUAAGCUCUAAGGAGGAAAGUAGGGGACCUAAAUAAGGCCUUACGCUAUUUGAUCGGCCGAUGUCGGAUUAGCUAGUUGGUGGGGUAAUGGCUCACCAAGGCAAUGACCCGUAGCGGGUCUGAGAGGACGAUCCGCCACACUGGGACUGAGACACGGCCCAGACUCCUACGGGAGGCAGCAGUGGGGAAUUUUGGACAAUGGGGGAAACCCUGAUCCAGCCAUGCCGCGUGUAUGAAGAAGGCCUUAGGGUUGUAAAGUACUUUUGUUAGGGAAGAAAAGCUAGUUUUUAAUAAAAAUUAGUGAUGACGGUACCUAAAGAAUAAGCACCGGCUAACUACGUG